This 1253-nucleotide long non-coding RNA is filed under the name Gopherus agassizii (Agassiz's desert tortoise). RNAcentral's name for it is "lncRNA (ENSGAGG00000013808.1)". The record is from RNAcentral. Lineage: Eukaryota; Metazoa; Chordata; Testudines; Testudinidae.
CAAUUACAUAAUCAAGGCCAGGAGCCAGAAUGGCAUGACAUUCAGUAUUUUUGACACAUUCCCACAUUAUCAAUACUAUUUCUGGAAGGUUUCUAUAGCUCUUAGGGAUUUUCCUUGGCAAGGGUGCUUGCUUUUCCCAGGAAGAUUCCUUGCUGCCUUUGGCACUCGAUCUGUCUCACCGGCUCCAGCGUAUUCCUUUCUGUCUUUUUUUUGUGUGCUUUCCACUGUCUCUCUUCAAUCUAACCCUUUUUAGAUUGUUCUUGUCAUUUCUGUUCCUCCUGUCUUUGAAUUACCCUGCCUACUAUGACUUCCUUCAUAUUUUAGUCUCUUCCAGAUUCUCUGUUCCCUUUGCCCAAAGCCAGCCCUUGAAGAUAUUUCACAGUACAGCACUGCAGUGCUCUAAGGUUUUGUUGGUUUCUUUCUGAACACAGAAGCAUAAAAAGUGCAUGUAAACACUGGCUAGUAAGUAAAUCUUUGAGAUUGAUGCUAUUUCCUCCUCUUCCGCAGUGUUACAUUUGGAGCGGGGUUUGUCUCAACAUUAUCUUCUAUUAUUAUUAUUAUAGUAGGGAGCGAUAUCUAAUAUCCUAUCUAAAGUAACUGUGGAUGUUUUCAUUAUCAUUAUAAUCAUCAUAAUCAUUAUUAAUUCCUUCUAAUCUCUUGGCCUGGAUAGCAUCUUGUAGCAAUGAGUACCACAAUUUAAUUUAUGUGUUUCAAAAGUAUAUUAUUUUAUCAAUUUAAAUGUGCUGGCCUUUUAUUUUCAUUGACUAUAAAUUUUGUAAACAAGUUACUCAUUUUUCAUUGAAUUGGGGCUUUAAUGAAUACUCAAGCCACAUGUGUAAGCAGUGUCAGGAUAUGCUCUACACUGACAUCUUGUGGAAAGAAUUUCAGAGAGUAUAUUUGCAUAGGCACGCCUACCCUAUCCCAGACUGCUGAGUGGUGGGACUGCUUGGUGACAAAUGACUCACCCUCAGUUGGGUGGUACUUGCUAGACAAGGGACAUGGGUUCAAAAACCCAGAGAAUUGAGAGAGGCUGGGGACAGGUAUCUGUGCCUGGUUGUGCAGUCUCCUUGUGGAGCCAGAAGCACCAGUUGUACCCCCUCCUCUCUCCACUGUGGAAUAUCAGAGUUGAUUUUUUUUAUUCCCUCAAGAAUCUAGAUACAGGUUACUGAGCUGAAAUCACUUUGGCUAAUGGUGCACUAGCACUCGGGCUCCCCUACCAUGAGCUGGAAUCACUAAAGAGCUGAAAUUAUUGA